AUGCGUCCCGGUGGUUUGGGACACGAGACUAACAACCCUAUCCCCUGGUAAAAGGGGAUACCAUUUACAUACCUUCCCUAGUCAUUGGGAACAAAACUUACUUUUCCUUCCCGGGUAUUGGGAAACCUUUUGGUUAAUUACUGUUUAUACGGAUUGCAACUAACGGCACUAAACGAAACUCUAUCACUCAAGUCCCUACUACAAAUACCGAUUAGUCGCCGGGUUAGGCGAGCGGGUUAUUAGUUGAUAGCGCUAUUUAGGUGUUUACCAGCCUCACACCGUGCCCUGGUUUGGGACGGGCGUGAACUAAUGUACUCAGAAAUCCGUCAAUGAUGAUAGAACAUUGACAUCGGGGCAUCCUGCGGAUACGCAACGGUUACCUAGUGUUCGGUAUUGGAAAAACAGUUUAGUCGCUAACUUUUGGGGUAGCUCCCCAGGGCAUGUAUAAACGGAUAAAUUAACCGGUGAAACAAGUUUUUGGUAAUUAAAACUGGACAACUAGUGAACUCACUCAGCAUUAUUGUUGACUCCUUACUGCAUGCUUUGCAGGUAACCAAUGAUUCAGGAGCUGCUACUUGGGGAAGUGUAGUGUUCGUCAAACCCGUGUGUUGGGAUAACUGUUUUGAUCAAUGAACUGUCUUUAAAACUAUUUUGGUUUAUGCUUCCGCUGUUUUGUUAAACUAAUUACCGAAUCUAAACUCUAAUGUUGUUAAUUACUUCGGAUUUUAAAUAUUUCUUCUAUUAAUUAAAUGCUCAGUAUAAUUGGUGGCUGGAUCCUGGUCAGUCACGCCCUCGAAGCGGGUGUUAUCCGCAGGUGGAUUUUGGGGGUGUGACAUUA
Molecule: long non-coding RNA, 838 nt
Filed under: Helianthus annuus (common sunflower)
Lineage: Eukaryota; Viridiplantae; Streptophyta; Magnoliopsida; Asterales; Asteraceae
Source: RNAcentral